RNAcentral lists this ribosomal RNA (497 nucleotides) under uncultured bacterium. Its description in RNAcentral is "partial 16S ribosomal RNA". It matches the Rfam family "Bacterial small subunit ribosomal RNA", at positions 28 to 507 of the family's 1533-position model. The record is from RNAcentral.
GAUGAACGCUGGCGGCGUGCCUAAUACAUGCAAGUCGAGCGAACAGACGAGGAGCUUGCUCCUCUGACGUUAGCGGCGGACGGGUGAGUAACACGUGGAUAACCUACCUAUAAGACUGGGAUAACUUCGGGAAACCGGAGCUAAUACCGGAUAAUAUAUUGAACCGCAUGGUUCAAUAGUGAAAGACGGUUUUGCUGUCACUUAUAGAUGGAUCCGCGCCGCAUUAGCUAGUUGGUAAGGUAACGGCUUACCAAGGCAACGAUGCGUAGCCGACCUGAGAGGGUGAGCGGCCACACUGGAACUGGGACACGGUCCAGACUCCUACGGGAGGCAGCAGUAGGGAAUCUUCCGCAAUGGGCGAAAGCCUGACGGAGCAACGCCGCGUGAGUGAUAAAGGUCUUCGGAUCGUAAAACUCUGUUAUUAGGGAAGAACAAAUGUGUAAGUAACUAUGCACGUCUUGACGGUACCUAAUCAGAAAGCCACGGCUAACUACGUG